UCAAACAAAGAAAAAAUAGCAAGUCUCAAACAAGUGGAUUGCUUCAGUGUUAGCAAAAUUAUCUUCAUGGAUAAACACCACUUUUGUCAUUUUUGAAGCGUAAAUUAAAUUGCUAGAAGUAAAACUCUAAUGUUAGGCUAUAAAAAGACGACAUUGUGAUUUCAUGACUAAAACAUCACCACCACUAAGCAUCUUACUACCUAAUUACUAUACACGUUUGAUGUAAAUUGACAAAUCUACAGGUUGCAAGGUUAAGGUUAGAAUAGUUUGUGACUUAAGUCGGCCUUUAAAGACAGACAGGCCUCAAGUUCAUCGAAGACUAGACCCUUGUAUGACUGCACCAUACAAUUUCCUCCAAAUCAUCAUCACCCCCUGCCAGUCUCUGAAUCCACUGCUCAGUCGCAACAGGAUUGCACAAACCAAGCUUCAAUUGGAUAAACAGCCACCAUCCGAACCCUGGAGGACUCCAUUUCAGCACAGGCACUACUGUGCAUUACCACCAGAGGGAGGGGAUGUUUUGGCACAAAGGAGAAAAAUCUGAACGAGGCCUCUGCCGACAUUUCCUCACAGCUGCCUUCUGUCACAGAAAAACAAACCACUCACUGGAUUGCAACAUUACAUUCCCAUUUUGAUCACAUAUGUCGUCAAAUGGUGUCACUCUUGACCUUUUGUGUGAAGCAGUUAACUCAAGGAUGUUUACAGAAUGUGGAUAAAAUGAAUUA
Long non-coding RNA from Acanthopagrus latus (yellowfin seabream), 722 nucleotides. RefSeq lists it as uncharacterized. The record is from RefSeq and is a predicted model, not a curated record. NCBI's taxonomy places the organism in Eukaryota, Metazoa, Chordata, Actinopteri, Spariformes, Sparidae. The transcript has 3 exons.